AACGAACGCUGGCGGCAUGCCUAACACAUGCAAGUCGAACGAGACCUUCGGGUCUAGUGGCGCACGGGUGCGUAACGCGUGGGAACCUGCCCUUAGGUUCGGAAUAACUCCCCGAAAGGGGUGCUAAUACCGGAUAAUGUCUUCGGACCAAAGAUUUAUCGCCUUUGGAUGGGCCCGCGUUGGAUUAGCUAGUUGGUAGGGUAAAAGCCUACCAAGGCGACGAUCCAUAGCUGGUCUGAGAGGAUGAUCAGCCACACUGGGACUGAGACACGGCCCAGACCCUUCCGGAGGGCAGAAGUGGGGAAUAUGGGCAAAUGGCGGAAAGCUUGAUCCAGAAUUGCGGGGUGAGUAAUGAGGGCUUAAGGGUUGUAAAGCUCUUUACCCGGGAUGAUAAUGACAGUACCGGGAGAAUAAGCUCCGGCUAACUCCGUG
RNAcentral lists this ribosomal RNA (432 nucleotides) under uncultured bacterium. RNAcentral describes it as "partial 16S ribosomal RNA". It matches the Rfam family "Bacterial small subunit ribosomal RNA", at positions 29 to 507 of the family's 1533-position model. The record is from RNAcentral.